GAUGAACGCUAGCGACAGGCCUAACACAUGCAAGUCGAGGGGCAGCACAUGAGUAGCAAUACGAUGGUGGCGACCGGCGCACGGGUGAGUAACACGUAUGCAACCUGCCUGUAAGAGGGGGAUAACCCGGAGAAAUUCGGACUAAUACCGCAUAAUACCACGAGACUGCAUGGUUUUGUGGUUAAACAUUUAUGGCUUACAGAUGGGCAUGCGUAUGAUUAGAUAGUUGGUAGGGUAACGGCCUACCAAGUCUACGAUCAUUAGGGGUUCUGAGAGGAAGGUCCCCCACACUGGUACUGAGACACGGACCAGACUCCUACGGGAGGCAGCAGUGAGGAAUAUUGGUCAAUGGGCGAGAGCCUGAACCAGCCAAGUCGCGUGAAGGAAGAAGGUUCUAUGGAUUGUAAACUUCUUUUGCAGGGGAAUAAAGGACGGUACGUGUACUGUUUUGUAUGUACCUUGCGAAUAAGGAUCGGCUAACUCCGUGCCAGCAGCCGCGGUAA
Molecule: ribosomal RNA, 503 nt
Filed under: uncultured bacterium
Lineage: Bacteria
Description: bacterial SSU rRNA
Rfam family: Bacterial small subunit ribosomal RNA
Source: RNAcentral